RNAcentral lists this ribosomal RNA (421 nucleotides) under uncultured bacterium. RNAcentral's name for it is "bacterial SSU rRNA". It matches the Rfam family "Bacterial small subunit ribosomal RNA", at positions 362 to 775 of the family's 1533-position model. The record is from RNAcentral.
UCUUCCACAAUGGGUGAAAACCUGAUGGAGCAAUACCGCGUGAGUGAAGAAGGUCUUCGGAUCGUAAAGCUCUGUUGUUAGAGAAGAAUAAGUCGGGUAGUAACUGCCCCGGCCUUGACGGUAUCUAACCAGAAAGUCACGGCUAACUACGUGCCAGCAGCCGCGGUAAUACGUAGGUGACAAGCGUUGUCCGGAUUUAUUGGGCGUAAAGCGAGCGCAGGCGGUCUUUUAAGUCUGAUGUGAAAGCCCACGGCUCAACCGUGGAGGGUCAUUGGAAACUGGAAGACUUGAAUGCAGAAGAGGAAAGUGGAAUUCCAUGUGUAGCGGUGAAAUGCGUAGAUAUAUGGAGGAACACCAGUGGCGAAGGCGACUUUCUGGUCUGUAAUUGACGCUGAGGCUCGAAAGCGUGGGGAGCGAACAG